This is a long non-coding RNA of Magnolia sinica, 529 nucleotides long. RefSeq lists it as uncharacterized. Lineage: Eukaryota; Viridiplantae; Streptophyta; Magnoliopsida; Magnoliales; Magnoliaceae. The record is from RefSeq and is a predicted model, not a curated record. The transcript is spliced from 3 exons.
GUGCAGUAUGAAGACAUUAUUGCAAUAUUUUUAAUGUCUAUUUAAAGUCACAAGCCUCACAUUUAUUUUGGAGCUCAUAAAAGCUUUCUUUGUCAGAUAUUUGAAAUAUUUAAAAUUGAACUUUUAGGAAGUAAAGAUAUGUAACUAGGCCGCUGUAAUGAUUUAGUGCAAAUGAUUUAAUUUCAUUUUUAAGGAGGAAUGAUGUCAUUAGUGGUGAAGUCCAAGACAGAAGAUUCCGUCAGAUGUGAAGUUGUUGAUGGAGGUGAACUUAAGUCUAGACGGCAUUUGAAUGUUUAAGGAAAAAGUGCUACAUUGCCAUCUAUUACUGAAAAGGAUUGGGAUGACAUUAAGUUUGGGGUUGAAAAUAAAGUAGACUUUUAUGUUGUUUCCUUUGUCAAAGAUGCGAAAGUGGUCCACGAAUUGAAGGAUUAUCUCCGAAGUUGUGGUGCAGAUAUACAUGUAACUGUUAAAAUUGAAAGUGCAAACUCCAUACCAAAUCUGCAUUCUAUCAUUUCUACAUCUGAUGGGG